GAUGAACGCUGGCGGCGUGCCUAAUACAUGCAAGUAGAACGCUGACGGCGGAGCUUGCUCUUCUGGAUGAGUUGCGAACGGGUGAGUAACGCGGAGGUAACCUGCCUGGUAGCGGGGGACAACGAUUGGAAACGAUAGAUAAUACCGCAUGACAACAGUUAUUGCAUGAUAACUAUCUGAAAGGGGCAACUGCUCCACUACCAGAUGGACCUGCGUUGUAUUAGGUAGUUGGUGAGGUAACGGCUCACCAAGGCGACGAUACAUAGCCGACCGGAGAGGGGGAGGAGCCACACUGGGACUGGGACAGGGCCCAGACCCCUACGGGAGGCAGCAGUAGGGGUUCUGCGGAAAGAGACGGAAGUCUGACCGUGCAACGCCGAGGUAGUGAAGAAGGUUUUCGGAUCGUAAAGCUCUGUUGUCAGAGAAGAACGAGUGUGGGGGUGGAAAGGUCACUCUGUGACGGUAUCUUAUCAGAAAGGGACGGCUAACUACGUG
Molecule: ribosomal RNA, 495 nt
Filed under: uncultured bacterium
Lineage: Bacteria
Description: partial 16S ribosomal RNA
Rfam family: Bacterial small subunit ribosomal RNA
Source: RNAcentral